GUACCUACUAGGCUAAAUCUUUAUGUAAACUUCUACCUAUAAUAUUAUUAUUUAUUAUUUAUAAUAUUGCAAAUUACAGUGCGUAAACGGUAGACAGUAGACCAGAGUUAACUAUUAGAUUAUAGAUUUUCAUUUUCUAACAGGAAUUUUCGUUAUUGUUAUAUAAUUAAGUAUUUAUUAUAUACAACUGUUUUUACUACAUUCAACAACAUGCCGAAUGCAUGUUUACUUUGCUUGAAGUCAUCAAAAUCACACCCAGGUCUUUCAUUGCAUAAAUUUCCAACAAAUUCCUUGCUACGUAGUAGUUGGCUCAAAGCCCGUGGAUUUCUAGAUAGAGACUAUGGACCUAAUAGAAAGUUAUGCUCAAGGCAUUUUGAGGAAGAUUGUUUUGACGGUAAUAUUAACGGUAUUUAAAGCCGAAGUCAAUACCCACACUACAUUUAAAAUGUUGAAAAAAACAUACAACAUACCAGAAAUUUUACAUACAAGUAUAACAACAGAUGUUGUGGUGUAUUGCUAUUAGAACCUGGAGUAUUAUUGUCGGAUGUUUCAAAUCAUAAUGUUAUUGAUGAACUAAAAGAACUUUUGAAUUUAUUGUCAAGUCCUAAUAUAAUAGCACAAAGUUCUAUAAUUGAAACACCAGAGAACAAUAUUUUGAGAAAAUGUUUUGUCGGUGAUAUUAAAUACUCCACGACGUGCAAAGCAUUAUUUUAAACAAUCCAAAAUCAAUAUAAUAAAUCACAGAAAAAAAAUCAAAGUAUUACAACAAAAAGUUAGAAGACUUAGAACCAAGUUAUCAAACUUUGAAGCCCUAUUUAAACAUGAAAAAAAAAAAAAUUAUAUAACUGAUGAUGCUCAUGAUAAUAUAUUGGUGUCAAUGUAGAGUACAACAUAACCUUGUACUAAGCUUCCAAACCAAUAAAAACCGUUGAUUGAAAAUUCUAAAAAAAAAUGUUUGAUUCAAAUAUCAAAGUAUACUGAAGCAUGCAACAUACUUGUAAUGGAACAAAUUGUCUCUAUUAUGUAAAUGUUUAUCUAAGUAAUUCAUAAAUGUUAGAAAAGGAUUUAUUGUUCACAGUUUGUAUCUAAUAAAAUAUUUUAUAUGGUCGAUUUUAAUAAAAUACAUACUAAAGAGGAA
RNAcentral lists this long non-coding RNA (1138 nucleotides) under Acyrthosiphon pisum (pea aphid). Its description in RNAcentral is "uncharacterized LOC115033430, transcript variant X2". Lineage: Eukaryota; Metazoa; Arthropoda; Insecta; Hemiptera; Aphididae. The record is from RNAcentral.